GUAGUCCACGCAGUAAACGAUGAUUACUAGGAGUUUGCGAUAUAGUGUAAGCUCUACAGCGAAAGCGUUAAGUAAUCCACCUGGGGAGUACGCCGGCAACGGUGAAACUCAAAGGAAUUGACGGGGGCCCGCACAAGCGGAGGAACAUGUGGUUUAAUUCGAUGAUACGCGAGGAACCUUACCCGGGAUUGAAAUGUACCUGACGAACUGCGAGAGUGGUUUUCCAGCAAUGGCAGGUAUGUAGGUGCUGCAUGGUUGUCGUCAGCUCGUGCCGUGAGGUGUCGGCUUAAGUGCCAUAACGAGCGCAACCCUGACUGUCAGUUGCUAACAGGUUAAGCUGAGGACUCUGGCGGGACUGCCGGCGUAAGCUGUGA
Molecule: ribosomal RNA, 374 nt
Filed under: uncultured bacterium
Lineage: Bacteria
Description: bacterial SSU rRNA
Rfam family: Bacterial small subunit ribosomal RNA
Source: RNAcentral